GACGAACGCUGGCGGCGUGCUUAACACAUGCAAGUCGAACGGAAAGGCCCUGCUUUUGUGGGGUGCUCGAGUGGCGAACGGGUGAGUAACACGUGGGUAACCUGCCCUUGACUUUGGGAUAACUUCAGGAAACUGGGGCUAAUACCGGAUAGGAGCUCCUGCUGCAUGGUGGGGGUUGGAAAGUUUCGGCGGUUGGGGAUGGACUCGCGGCUUAUCAGCUUGUUGGUGGGGUAGUGGCUUACCAAGGCUUUGACGGGUAGCCGGCCUGAGAGGGUGACCGGCCACUUGGGGAUUGAGCUCCGCCCCGGCCCCCUGCGGGGGGCAGCGGGGGGGAUUUUUGAACAGGGGGGGGAGGCUGGAGGCAGCAACCCCGGGGGCGGGAGGGCGCCUUUCGGUUGGUAACCCGCUUUCCCCUGUGACGAGGGGGGGGUGAGGGGAAUGGUAAAAGAAGCCCCGGCUAACUACGU
RNAcentral lists this ribosomal RNA (467 nucleotides) under uncultured bacterium. RNAcentral's name for it is "partial 16S ribosomal RNA". It matches the Rfam family "Bacterial small subunit ribosomal RNA", at positions 28 to 506 of the family's 1533-position model. The record is from RNAcentral.